GAUGAACGCUGGCGGCGUGCCUAAUACAUGCAAGUCGAGCGAACAGACGAGGAGCUUGCUCCUCUGACGUUAGCGGCGGACGGGUGAGUAACACGUGGAUAACCUACCUAUAAGACUGGGAUAACUUCGGGAAACCGGAGCUAAUACCGGAUAACAUGUUGAACCGCAUGGUUCAACAGUGAAAGACGGUCUUGCUGUCACUUAUAGAUGGAUCCGCGCCGCAUUAGCUAGUUGGUAAGGUAACGGCUUACCAAGGCAACGAUGCGUAGCCGACCUGAGAGGGUGAUCGGCCACACUGGAACUGAGACACGGUCCAGACUCCUACGGGAGGCAGCAGUAGGGAAUCUUCCGCAAUGGGCGAAAGCAUGACGGAGCAACGCCGCGUGAGUGAAGAAGGUCUUCGGAUCGUAAAACUCUGUUAUUAGGGAAGAACAAAUGUGUAAGUAACUAUGCACGUCUUGACGGUACCUAAUCAGAAAGCCACGGCUAACUACGUG
Molecule: ribosomal RNA, 497 nt
Filed under: uncultured bacterium
Lineage: Bacteria
Description: partial 16S ribosomal RNA
Rfam family: Bacterial small subunit ribosomal RNA
Source: RNAcentral